CCUACGGGAGGCAGCAGUGGGGAAUAUUGGGCAAUGGGCGCAAGCCUGACCCAGCAACGCCGCGUGAAGGAAGAAGGCUUUCGGGUUGUAAACUUCUUUUCUGAGGGACGAAGUAAGUGACGGUACCUCAGGAAUAAGCCACGGCUAACUACGUGCCAGCAGCCGCGGUAAUACGUAGGUGGCAAGCGUUAUCCGGAUUUAUUGGGGGUAAAGGGCGAGUAGGCGGGAAAGGAAGUCAGAUGUGAAAACUCAGGGCUCAACCCUGAGGCUGCAUUUGAAACUUUUUUUCUUGAGUGCUGGAGAGGGAAACGGAAUUCCGUGUGUAGCGGUGAAAUGCGUAGAUAUACGGAGGAACACCAGUGGCGAAAGCGGAUUUCUGGACAAUAAAUGAAGCUGAGGCGCGAAAGCCUGGGGAGCAAACAGGAUUAGAUACCCCAGUAGUC
This 443-nucleotide ribosomal RNA is filed under the name uncultured bacterium. Its description in RNAcentral is "partial 16S ribosomal RNA". It matches the Rfam family "Bacterial small subunit ribosomal RNA", at positions 338 to 795 of the family's 1533-position model. The record is from RNAcentral.